GCCGGGCAUGGUGGCAUGCACCUGUGGUCCCAGCUACUUGGGGGCUGAGGUGGGAGAAUCACUUGAGCCCAGGAGGUCAAGGCUGCAGUGAGGUGCAGUGAGCAUGAUUGCGCCACUGCACUCCAGCCUGGGUGACAGAGUGAGACCCUACCUUUU
Molecule: non-coding RNA, 156 nt
Filed under: Pan troglodytes (chimpanzee)
Lineage: Eukaryota; Metazoa; Chordata; Mammalia; Primates; Hominidae
Source: Rfam by way of RNAcentral